ACCAACCAAGCCAGGCGGCUUCAGACCGACCUUUCCACCACAUUCACCGCGAGUUGAGCCGGAUUCAAUCCGCACUUUUUCCCCCAUUUGCAGCAACAAAUAAAAGUUACCGUCCCCUCGGGCGACGGCAGCUCGGAUUUUUGUUUUUUUUUUAUUUUUGGGAAAAUAGAACACUCUCGUGAUGGGGACCAGGACGAAGUUCUCGCCCACAAACGGAGAAUGCAGAACUCCACAGUCUGCGUCUCCUUCUCCUGUAUUACGUAUGGAGAGGAAUGUAACAGAGUGAAACAAUAUCAGAUCAAUGUUCUUACGUUUGCUCACGUGGAGCAGCAAGCAGCAGAUCGUAAAGGCGUGAAGCUGAAAUUAGAGGGAUUCAAGCUUGCUGAGGUGACACAUUAGCCUGGGUGUGAUUCUGGAUAUGAAGAGACAGAGGAAGCAUGUAAGCAUGCAGUCAAUGCUGGGUGGAGCCACAACACAUUAUCCUCACAGUCAGAAGAUUAAUUCAAGAGAAGAGAUUUGAAAAUGUUUUACUUUCCCCAGCCUUGGAGAAAACAAUAAUUUAGAAAGAAGACAGAUCUGAUUACUGAUCACCACACUCCUAUUUUCCCACUUGCUUCUUCCUUUCACCAGUUCUCAUCUAUCCUCAAAUAUUACCAUUGCCCAACAUGGUCAACAUAUCCAAGUACCCAGUGCUAUGCCACAGAAAAGGAUGUUCUAGCAACUGUUUCCUACUUACUUUCUGAUGCAGACCGUACAUUUACAAACCAAACUGUUGAAUUUUGAAACCUUGAUGUAAAAUAGAGCUGAGACAGUGACAUGUUCAAGGCUGCCAUCACUGCUGGUUUCUGCCUAUUGGAUUCCUCUUUUAAAUGGCAUGGUGGGGGGAGGCUGGUUGCACAGUCACUUUCAAUGCCAUUCAGAUCACUGACAGCAGGUGCACUGCAGUCAUUUGAACUUGACUUGCUGGAGUUUCUAUUUCUUCACAGAGAUGGCAAUCUCUCUUGUUGGGCAGUGCUCCAUCUAGUGGCCAAUCUCUGAACUGGCAAAUUUCACCUCUUUUCCCAAACAGACUAAGGGCAAAUUUUACUCGAAUUAAACAGACAACAGCUUACUGAUCACCAGCUUUGCAUCUGUCCUGCAUUGGAAAUGAAAAUCAGACAACAUGUACAAUGGCUGCUGAUCUGCUAAUACCUGUUUUACACUGUCACAAAAUCAAAAUCCUAUUUACUUGAGUUCAAAGCUGUUUUAAGUCUGAAAUCUGUACAAACCUUUACAAGAGUUCAUGUUCCACUAAUAAAGCUACAG
Molecule: long non-coding RNA, 1305 nt
Organism: Chiloscyllium plagiosum (whitespotted bambooshark)
Lineage: Eukaryota; Metazoa; Chordata; Chondrichthyes; Orectolobiformes; Hemiscylliidae
Source: RefSeq, a predicted model, not a curated record